Molecule: long non-coding RNA, 381 nt
Filed under: Bos taurus (domestic cattle)
Lineage: Eukaryota; Metazoa; Chordata; Mammalia; Artiodactyla; Bovidae
Description: long non-coding RNA NONBTAT009766
Source: RNAcentral
AAAAGGGAAGUGAUGGCUGGUUUUUUAAUGGGUUUUCCCAGCUAAACACAGAAACUGAUCUUCAUUACACUUGACUGCUUCUAUCAUGAUAGCAAGUGAGGGACAGAGAAAAAGCGAUUGUUCUCCAGGGACAUUUACUCUGAACACUUCAUUAUCCCUGCUGAGGGAAGCUGGGGAGGCAAAAAAUGUUCUCCCAUUGGGCUGAACUGUGAGGGGCAAGGAGGUGCCAUAUGUCACAACAAACUCCAAGACAAUAAGGUGAAAUGAAGAGCCCUCGUUUCUAUGAACUUCUUACCCCUUUCUCGGGGAAAGACACUGAGAUGCUGUAAAGGUCACCAGAGCUCCGUGCACACAACCACCCCUUUCUCGUGGGUGGUCCAG